UACAGAGGGUGCAAGCGUUGUCCGGAAUCACUGGGCGUAAAGGGCGCGUAGGCGGCCUGAUAAGUCGGGGGUGAAAUUCUGCGGCUUAACCGCAGGACGGCCUUCGAGACUGUCGGGCUUGAGCACGGUAGAGGCAGGUGGAAUUCCCGGUGUAGCGGUGGAAUGCGUAGAGAUCGGGAAGAACAUCGGUGGCGAAGGCGGCCUGCUGGGCCGUUGCUGACGCUGAGGCGCGAAAGCUAGGGGAGCGAACAGG
RNAcentral lists this ribosomal RNA (253 nucleotides) under uncultured bacterium. RNAcentral's name for it is "partial 16S ribosomal RNA". It matches the Rfam family "Bacterial small subunit ribosomal RNA", at positions 524 to 776 of the family's 1533-position model. The record is from RNAcentral.